GAGCUGGGUUUAAAACGUCGUGAGACAGUUUGGUCCCUAUCUGCCGUGGGCGUUGGAAAUUUGAAGGGACCUGCUCCUAGUACGAGAGGACCGGAGUGGACAGAUCUCUGGUGUACCGGUUAUCACGCCAGUGGUAUUGCCGGGUAGCUAAAUCUGGAAGAGAUAACCGCUGAAAGCAUCUAAGCGGGAAACUCGUUUCAAGAUUAGAUCUGCCGGGGCCUUGAGCCCCCUAAAGAGUCGUUCAAGACCAGGACGUUGAUAGGUCAGGUGUGGAAGCGCAGUAAUGCGUUAAGCUAACUGAUACUAAUUGCUCGUGCGACUUGACCCU
This 328-nucleotide ribosomal RNA is filed under the name Burkholderiaceae bacterium. RNAcentral's name for it is "partial 23S ribosomal RNA". It matches the Rfam family "Bacterial large subunit ribosomal RNA", at positions 2602 to 2925 of the family's 2925-position model. Lineage: Bacteria; Pseudomonadati; Pseudomonadota; Betaproteobacteria; Burkholderiales; Burkholderiaceae. The record is from RNAcentral.